Gallus gallus (chicken) is the source of this 2673-nucleotide long non-coding RNA. Lineage: Eukaryota; Metazoa; Chordata; Aves; Galliformes; Phasianidae. The record is from Ensembl.
CCCCCCAGACCAACUUGUGCUUCAGAGCAGCCCCACACAGCCCUGUGCAGUGUGGAGCACUGAGAGGCAGCCUGCCCUCAGCCCAAGUGCCCAUGCACAGUGUGCAUCACACAGCACGGAAAGAAACCUGCAGUGCUCUGCUUCCCAACCCCUCAUUUAACUGCAAGCCAAAACAGCCCCCAGUGCUGCAAAUGGCUCCUCAUCCUGCUGAGCCCAUCCACCUCCCACAGCCUGAGCACGGCUGACUGCAGAGGUUUUCCUAGAACCACAGAACAGCAAGCAGGAGGGAGAGAGGCCUGCAGCCAGGCAGCAGUCUGGGCUGCAUUUCGGAGCUGACUCAUGGGGAAGGGCAGCAGCCAUCAGCUAUUGGGCUGGAUUUUAACUUGUGCCCAGAUUGGAUGACUAAGGAACUUAGGUACCUAUACAGAUCAGCAGCUUGCACACCCUUUGCAGUGAGCCCUCAGCAUCUGCAUUAACAGACCUCAUCCGUGUUCCACAAAAUACACCCCAAAUAUGUCCUCCUCACAAAUGGAAUACAAUGCUGUAAUCCAACUACAAAUAUUAAAUCCCACAACUGACCCACAUUAAAAAUAAAUCCCUCCAAUUAAGGGGGUUUAACCGAUGAAAUUUUAUAUACGUUGCAGGGAAAACAGAGCAUCUUUCACACAGCAGAUCAGUAUUGACGGCUAAAAGGGGCCCGGAGCAGCGCCGGGGUCUCCACGCAGCAUCAGCACUUUGCCCCCUCCGUUCCACCUCUGCGUGCAGGCGGUGCUCAGCAGCUCACGGCCGCCCCGCAGCCGCAGGAUUCACGCCACAAUGGGGAUGAAACAGCAUUCGUAAUGCUUUUUUUUUUUUUUUUUUUGGGGGGGGGGGGGGGGGCAUCGAAACAGCUGCAAGGUCCUAUUUCAUCCCCAAACGCUGCGUCCUGCUUUGCCGAGCGUCGUUUACCGCACUCGACCUGCAUUACAGGAGAACGCCAAGCGAGCUCCUCUCCUCCUCGCCGACCUCCUUUUAGCACCGAGAUGACGCUACGGGAUGCGAUAACGAAACGCUCCCUCCGCUCAGCGCCGGCUGUGCCUCGUUACGCAGCCGUGAGCCCACGCGCCCCCCACCUUCAUCCCCACCUCCCCCCUCAGCCUCCGGACACCCAACAGCCGAGGCUCUCCGCAAUGGCCCGCGGAGCUCACACCGUGAUGCCGGCAUCGCUCCGCUUCGGAGCUUUGUUCUGCGACCAUCAUUGAGGACAAUGUAUUCCCGGGGCUGAACGAGCGACGGGAUUUGGUUUUUUCCCGACCACAGCGAGCAGAGUUUGCGGCUCAUUUCCGAACGCCGUACAGCCGGUACAACCUUUGUGGAGCAGUUUGAGUUCUACAUACUAAAAGGUGUCAGUGCAGCAAGGAUUGCGCUCAUGCAUCAGAAGAGGAAUGGGGAUCAAAAGCUUGAACGUCGUUUAGCAGGGAUCUCUCACCUGCUUCCAAGAAAGGCUGCUUUUUUGAAAAUGUACCGGCCUACAACAUGUGCCUUCUUAAUUUUGAACUCUCAGCAAUGAAGACCAAGAAAACUGAAUCAUCAAAUCAUUGAACCAUGGAAUCAUUCACGUUGGAAAAGACCUCUGAGAUCAUCCAGUCCAACCAUCAACCCACCCCCACCGUGCCCACUGCCCAUGUCCCAUGGUGCCACAUCCCCACAGCUCUGGGACACCUCCAGGACAGUGGCCCCACCACUCCCUGGGCAGCUGUGCCACUGCCUCACCGCUCUUUGGGAGAAGGAAUUGUUCCUAACAGCCAACCUGAAUCUGCCCUGGCACAACGUCAGGCCAUUCGCUCUCAUCCUAUUGAAGGAGUUUAAGCACAAUUCCUUCAGUCUUUGUCUGCCUGGUAUGGGACUGCUCCAAUCACAAAGAACUUCUAGUGGUGUGAGAUUCAGAAGGAAUCUGGCAAAAAAAGGCAGAGACAGCCAAAACCAGAUUUUAGUGACUACAAGCAUGGACUGUGGUUUCUUCAGAACUCCACUCUCAGCCAUCCUCUCCUAACAUACAACUUACAAACUGCACACAAAACAUGCCUAAGUAUCACAGAAGCCCAAAGUCUUGUCAGCAGUGUUGUCAACAUUUUGCCUGUGUGCAGGCAAAUAGAAUCCACAGUUCCUCCAUCACUUUCAAAAUGGGAGUUGAUAAGCUAUAUUUGCUAACUGGAAAGGUGAAUCUAUUGCUGAAUGCAGUUUCCUUAGCCCUCUAUUGAUGCCUUUCCACAAUUCACUAGCAAUGUUCAUCAGAACAAGGCAAGCAUGAAACUGCAGCUUGGAAAAUUCUGGCAUAGAAGAGAAAUGUAUGCUUAUCUAUUUAUAAAUAAAGUCUGAAGCUAGCUUUACUGAUCAUCCUAUAAAUAGUUACUUGCCAAAAUCCAAAGUAAUGAAUCUGCUAAUUCACCCAAAGAAGUGAACCCGAUACCUCAUGCAUUCUUGCUCCUUAUCCAAAGCAGCACUUUCCUGCAAAGUAUUGCUUCUGCCUUAUCAAUGCAGUGUUUCUUAAAUGCUUUUUGAAACUUAUGUGCUUGGAUGCAAGGCCCAAAUACUGUUUUUGAAUGAGGGAAAAAAAAACUAAAGUUUGCAGUAAGGAUGCGAAGCUAAGUCUUCUUUCCCCAAGGCUGUACCUGGCAAUACUAACUUAACCAC